RNAcentral lists this ribosomal RNA (605 nucleotides) under uncultured fungus. Its description in RNAcentral is "eukaryotic LSU rRNA". It matches the Rfam family "Eukaryotic large subunit ribosomal RNA", at positions 23 to 641 of the family's 3401-position model. The record is from RNAcentral. Lineage: Eukaryota; Fungi.
ACCCGCUGAACUUAAGCAUAUCAAUAAGCGGAGGAAAAGAAACCAACAGGGAUUGCCCUAGUAACGGCGAGUGAAGCGGCAUCAGCUCAAAUUUGAAAUCUGGCUCUUUUAGGGUCCGAGUUGUAAUUUGCAGAGGGCGCUUUGGCAUAGGCAGCGAUUCAAGUUCCUUGGAACAGGACGUCACAGAGGGUGAGAAUCCCGUACGUGGUCGCUAGCUCUUGCCGUGUAAAGCCCCUUCGACGAGUCGAGUUGUUUGGGAAUGCAGCUCUAAAUGGGAGGUAAAUUUCUUCUAAAGCUAAAUAUUGGCCAGAGACCGAUAGCGCACAAGUAGAAUGAUCGAAAGAUGAAAAGUACUUUGGAAAGAGAGUCAAAAAGCACGUGAAAUUGUUGAAAGGGAAGCGCUUGCAGCCAGACUUGCCUGUAGUUGCUCAUCCGGGCUCUUGCCCGGUGCACUCUUCUGUAGGCAGGCCAGCAUCAGUUUGGGCGGUUGGAUAAAGGUCUCUGUCAUGUACCUCUCUUCGGGGAGGCCUUAUAGGGGAGGCGACAUACAACCAGCCUGGACUGAGGUCCGCGCAUUCGUGCUAGGAUGCUGGCGUAAUGGCUGU